AGCCCCUCCUGCGGACCAGCUACCCGGGGAGCAAGCACAUCGCUCCGCACGGCUCUUCCACCAGCCGCGGAGCAGUCCCUUCUCGCCAUGUCCCAGAGCAGGUACCCGCCGAGGCUCUGCCUCUGGAGCGCGAGGACAGUGGGACCUUCAGUUUGGGGAAGAUGAUAACAGCUAUGCCAGGGAAAACACCGAUUCAGGUAUUACACGAAUACGGCAUGAAGACCAAGAACAUCCCAGUUUAUGAAUGUGAAAGAUCUGAUGUGCAAAUACACGUGCCCACUUUCACCUUCAGAGUAACCGUUGGUGACAUAACCUGCAGAGAUGAAGGUACAAGUAAGAAGCUGGUGAAACAUAGAGCUGCAGAGGCUGCCAUAAACAUUUUGAAAGACAAUGCAAGUAUUUGCUUUGCAGUUCCUGACCCCUUAAUGUCUGACCCUUCCAAACAACCAAAGAACCAGCUUAAUCCUAUUGGUUCUUUACAGGAAUUGGCUUUUCAUCAUGGCUGGAGACUUCCUGAAUAUACCCUUUCCCAGGAGGGAGGACCUGCUCAUAAGAGAGAAUAUACCACAGUUUGCAGGCUAGAGUCAUUUAUGGAAACUGGAAAGGGGGCAUCAAAAAAGCAAGCCAAAAGGAGUGCUGCUGAGAAAUUUCUCGCCAAAUUUAGUAAUAUUUCUCCAGAGAACCACAUUUCUUUAACAAAUGUAGUGGGACAUUCUUUAGGAUGUACUUGGCAUUCCUUGAGGAAUUCUCCUGGUGAAAAGAUCAACUUACUGAAAAGAAGCCUCCUUAGUAUUCCAAAUACAGAUUACAUCCAGCCGCUUAGUGAAAUUGCCAAGGAACAAGGUUUUAAUAUAACAUAUUUGGAUAUAGAUAAACUGAGCGCCAAUGGACAGUAUCAAUGUCUUGCUGAACUGUCCACCAACCUCAUCACGGUCUGUCAUGGCUCCGGUAUCUCCUGCAGCAAUGCAUAAAGUGAUGCAGCUCACAAUACUUUG
RNA transcript from Cercocebus atys (sooty mangabey), 995 nucleotides. It is a transcript of the gene named interferon-inducible double-stranded RNA-dependent protein kinase activator A pseudogene, with no coding region annotated. The transcript has a single exon. The record is from RefSeq and is a predicted model, not a curated record. NCBI's taxonomy places the organism in Eukaryota, Metazoa, Chordata, Mammalia, Primates, Cercopithecidae.